This 867-nucleotide ribosomal RNA is filed under the name uncultured archaeon. RNAcentral describes it as "bacterial SSU rRNA". It matches the Rfam family "Archaeal small subunit ribosomal RNA", at positions 5 to 879 of the family's 1478-position model. The record is from RNAcentral.
CGGUUGAUCCUGCCGGAGGCUAUUGCUAUCAGGGUUUGACUAAGCCAUGCGAGUCGAGAGGUGAAAGACCUCGGCAUACUGCUCAGUAACACGUGGAUAAUCUGCCCUCAGGUGAGGAAUAAUCCCGGGAAACUGGGGCUAAUGCCUCAUAGGAGACGGGUGCUGGAAUGCUCUGUCUCUGAAAGGUCCGCCGCCUGAGGAUGAGUCUGCGUCCGAUUAGGUUGUUGUUGGGGUAACGGCCCACCAAGCCAUUGAUCGGUACGGGUUGUGAGAGCAAGAGCCCGGAGAUGGAUUCUGAGACAUGAAUCCAGGCCCUACGGGGCGCAGCAGGCGCGAAAACUUUACAAUGCGAGCAAUCGUGAUAAGGAAACCCUGAGUGCCUGUCAAUGCAGGCUGUUCUGGUGUUUAGUCAGCACCAGGAGAAAGGGCGGGGCAAGACCGGUGCCAGCCGCCGCGGUAAUACCGGCUGCUCGAGUGAUAGCCACUUUUACUGGGCUUAAAGCGUUCGUAGCUUGGUCGUUAAGUCUCUGGGGAAAUCUUUUGGCUCAACCAAAAGGCGUCUCAGAGAAACUGGCGACCUUGGAACCGGGAGAGGUAAGACGUACUUCGGGGGUAGGAGUGAAAUCUUGUAAUCCCCGAGGGACGACCGAUGGCGAAGGCAUCUUACCAGAACGGCUUCGACAGUGAGGGACGAAAGCUGGGGGAGCAAACCGGAUUAGAUACCCGGGUAGUCCCAGCCGUAGACGAUGUGCGUUAGGUGUGUCAGUGACCACGAGUCGCUGAGGUGCCGAAAGGGAAACCGUGAAACGCACCGCCUGGGAAGUACGGUCGCAAGGCUGAAACUUAAAGGAAUUGGCGGGGGAGCAC